This 651-nucleotide unclassified non-coding RNA is filed under the name Hippospongia communis (horse sponge). RNAcentral's name for it is "sequence contains ITS1, 5.8S rRNA gene, ITS2". The stretch from base 274 to 428 matches the Rfam family "5.8S ribosomal RNA". The record is from RNAcentral. Lineage: Eukaryota; Metazoa; Porifera; Demospongiae; Dictyoceratida; Spongiidae.
CGUAGGUGAACCUGCGGAAGGAUCAUUAACAAAUCCUAGCCGUUGUUGCCUUCGCGGGGCAACGGUGAAACACCGUGCACUGGCAGCUGGAGAUGGGAGAUCGUCGGAGGUGUGCUGCCGGCAUUAAGUUGGAUGCCGCACCUAAAUCGGUGGGAAUCUGUCUGACGCCGCCCGCCGGGCCUCAAACGGACUUCUUCCAUCUUUGGUUUUUUGUUUGACUUUUAUGAGACUUUGUGUGGUAUUUUGGUAUGGUGCGUUGGUUGAAAAUUUGACAACUUCUGACGGUGGAUCUCUUGGCUCGUGCAUCGAUGAAGAACGCAGCAAGCUGCGAUACCUAGUGUGAAUUGCAGAAUUCAGUGAAUCAUCGAGUCUUUGAACGCAAAUGGCGCUCCCGGGGUCUCCUCGGGAGCAGGUCUGUCCGAGCGUCUGCCACUUUAAAGUGUUGUCGUCACUGCGAUGACAAGAGUGAGGAGCUGCAUUGCUCACCCCAGUGGUCACAUCGCACUCCUUGAAGAAACAGCAUUGCAUUGUGGACGGUGGACUGCGACGGCGUUCCGGCGGACAAUCGUCACAACGGCAUAACGGGUUGCGUCAUUGUAUCUCGUCGGCACCGUCGUUUGUCCACGACUGCCCACAAGCGUCUCAGGACCC